This 87-nucleotide transfer RNA is filed under the name Betaproteobacteria bacterium. Its description in RNAcentral is "tRNA-Leu". It matches the Rfam family "tRNA". From Rfam's summary of the family: Transfer RNA (tRNA) molecules are approximately 80 nucleotides in length. Their secondary structure includes four short double-helical elements and three loops (D, anti-codon, and T loops). Lineage: Bacteria; Pseudomonadati; Pseudomonadota; Betaproteobacteria. The record is from RNAcentral.
GCCCGGGUGGCGAAACUGGUAGACGCAAGGGACUUAAAAUCCCUCGGCCGCAAGGCCGUGCCGGUUCGAGUCCGGCCCCGGGCACCA